CCUACGGGCGGCAGCAGUGAGGAAUAUUGGUCAAUGGCCGGAAGGCUGAACCAGCCAAGCCGCGUGAAGGACGACGGUGCCAAGCAUUGUAAACUUCUUUUGUCAAGGGACAAAAUCAGGCUCGAGAGCCUGACCGAGGGUACUUGAAGAAAAAGCAUCGGCUAACUCCGUGCCAGCAGCCGCGGUAAUACGGAGGAUGCGAGCGUUAUCCGGAUUUAUUGGGUUUAAAGGGUGCGUAGGCGGACUGUUAAGUCAGCGGUAAAAGCCCGGGGCUCAACCUCGGCGAGCCGCUGAAACUGGGUGGCUUGAGAUGUCGAGAGGUAUGCGGAAUGCGUGGUGUAGCGGUGAAAUGCUUAGAUAUUGCGCAGAACUCCGAUUGCGAAGGCAGCAUACCGUCGGCGUUCUGACGCUGAGGCUCGAAAGUGUGGGUAUCGAACAGGAUUAGAUACCCGUGUAGUC
This 459-nucleotide ribosomal RNA is filed under the name uncultured bacterium. RNAcentral describes it as "partial 16S ribosomal RNA". It matches the Rfam family "Bacterial small subunit ribosomal RNA", at positions 338 to 795 of the family's 1533-position model. The record is from RNAcentral.